CAGUCGCCGCGGUAAAACGUAGGUGGCAAGCGUUGUCCGGAAUUAUUGGGCGUAAAGGGCUCGCAGGCGGUUUCUUAAGUCUGAUGUGAAAGCCCCCGGCUCAACCGGGGAGGGUCAUUGGAAACUGGGAAACUUGAGUGCAGAAGAGGAGAGUGGAAUUCCGCGUGUAGCGGUGAAAUGCGUAGAGAUGUGGAGGAACACCAGUGGCGAAGGCGACUCUCUGGUCUGUAACUGACGCUGAGGAGCGAAAGCGUGGGGAGCGAACAGGAUUAGAUACCCCAGUAGUCCCUGUCUCUUAUAC
Molecule: ribosomal RNA, 301 nt
Filed under: uncultured bacterium
Lineage: Bacteria
Description: partial 16S ribosomal RNA
Rfam family: Bacterial small subunit ribosomal RNA
Source: RNAcentral